This 55-nucleotide transfer RNA is filed under the name Halice sp. JL-2018. RNAcentral describes it as "tRNA-Ser". Lineage: Eukaryota; Metazoa; Arthropoda; Malacostraca; Amphipoda; Pardaliscidae. The record is from RNAcentral.
AGAUAAAUAUAAAUCAGAUUUCUAAUCUGCCUAAAGCGAUUAAUCGUUUUAUCUU